CUAGGACUUAUUUUUGUGGUGCUGGGUGGUUUCAGCCUUGGAUUUGGAAGCUAGGAUUAUUAGUGCUUAGGAAGGUCUAUCUGGACAGAGCCAGGCCUAAGUCAGCUGAUGGGGAUGUGAGAAUAUAGAAUCUGGAGGAGAUGAGCUUGGGGUGUCAAAACAGUGGGUUUCAGGGCAAGUGUCAGGCUGAAGAUAUUUAGGCUGGGAUUUGUGUGAAAAUGUUGGGGUUGGGGAAAAUUGAUAAGAUACUUGUAUUAGAGACAUAAGCCCUGUCACAGGACCUGGCUUCUGAGGCCUGCUUUGGUGCUCCCACUUGUCCUGCUUGCUCCCCUCUGGCCUAUCAGGGUAUCACCCUGCUAUCCUGCCUACCACACCUUGAUGGUGUAAUUGGAGAGACUGCCCUCAGAGAGCAACACGAGCUUUCUGGAUACAGCCUCUCUCCCUGUGGGGCUCCCACCCUUCUGGAACACUAUACUGGGCUACUGGCCCUUCCUCUCUUGCACUGGACCCUCCAGAUCCUAAUCCCCUUACAGGGCUUUUAAUUGUGGCCUCUAGCUGCACCUGUAGCCACAUCCGUGCUUCACAGGUCUUACUCUAUUCUCUGCACUGAGCCCUCUGGCUCUCUACUGGUCUCAGCUCUCUGAGUCCCUGAAUUGGCAGGCUGUUAUCUUCUGCCUAUAAAACGCUUGGCCUAGUCCAUGCAGCCCACUGGGUCCCAGACCCAUGUAGAGCUAUAACUUGGCCUCAGCUCCUUCUCUAUGCAUGUACUGGGCCCCUGGUCCAGUCAGCUUCAGCCCACUGGGUCUCAGACCCUUUUCUACCCAAGCACUGGGCCCCUGGUCCUGUCUCAGCUUCAGCCCAUGCAGCCCAAUUGGUCCUGAACCUUUGUAGGGCUCUAUCUGGGCUUAAGUCCAUCAUGACAUAAAGUGCCUACCCAUGGCCCCCAAAACCACCCCAUCAGCCAUACUGAAACCUCUGGUUUCUUGAGUCUCUACCCAGCAACUUCCAGUCCUCUGCCCACUAGCUUUCUCCAGCUUCCCCAGAUACCUGGAGUGACUGGGUCCCCUGCUUUCACAGCCUGGGCUCUCAGGAGUUCUUCCCUCCCUGAAGCUCAGGGCCAGACUACCUCCUUUAGCUCUGGAGCUAGGCUUAAAGUAGAGUAGGGCUUCACCCCUUCCAAUCACAUGACCUCUGACUGACCAUGGAGUUUCUGCUUACCCUAUUAUUUCACCUCCUCUAUUCUACUGCCUUCUUCCCAGCUGUCUUUUAUUUGCUGCGUAGCUUCCAGUCAGAUUACAGCACUACCUCUGUAGCUUAUUGCAGGGCAUCUUACCCCAGUAAUGAACAAUGGGGCUGAGUGAAGUGUGCAGCUGGAAGAGAGAGGGUACUGCUGGGAUUCACCAAUGAGCCCUUAAACCAGUGGGUUUUACCCUUGUUAAACUCCAGGCACUCCUCAAAAAAUCCCAGCUUUUAGCCUUCAUUUAUUUCUUAACUACAGAAAAAUACUAGAGCAAUUGUUCUGUUGCAGAGAGCUCAGAAAGACCACAGCAGGUCAGAAUGUUUUUGACACCAUGGAUUCCUAUUUGAAACCUCUGGGUUUAUCUUGUAAAUAAUGCGUAGGUGUCUGUACACCUAACUGGGUUAGUAUUGCACAGUACCCUGCAACACCCUCAAAAGGAUUGCAUUGCACCCUAACAGAAUCAGUGUCCUAAAUUAAGAGCUCUUUCCAUCUACUGUGGUCUCUCUGCUUACUGAGACAUCAGAGUCUCUGGGGCAAGCAUUGAGUCAUUGUUCCUGCUGUGGCUUGAUGGCCUGUUUCUAAAGUUGACUAGUGUUGUUGCUUUUACUCUUCACAGAGAGGAGAAACUGCUAAGCAGAAGUGACCUGGUCUUACAGGAGAAAUGGGGCAGAGCACAUGCCUGAAGAAGAACCUCCUGGAUUUCAGGAAACUCUCUAGCACACACUUCGUUCAUGGCUUUCAGCAAACCAUUUAGGAACUCACCCCAUUGCAAUCAAUGCAGAGAUUCCUGUUGACUUCAAUGGCCUUUGAAUCAGGUCCUGAGCCUCUUGGUGCCUCGUGUAGCCAUCUGCAAAUGGGGAUGAUUAUACCUCACAAGGAUGUCAUAAGAAUAAGUUCUUUAAUGUGUAAUAGAUAUUUAUGUGCUAUGGUGAUUUAGGCCAUAGGAAAACCUAGAAAGUAUGUGAUCUGCUCCACCAUCCUUUGCUCAGUGUUUGCUUCUCUUGUGUCAUGAUUUCACUCCUGCUUAACACAUUUAUUUUCCUCUGCCCCACUAUCACUCCUACAUGGAGUCUUGAAAGUGUUAAUUUUUAGACCUCUGCUCUCUCAUAAUUUCUUCCUCCUUCUCAGUCAUGUUGGCCCAUGGAGUUACAUGAGCGGUGAAUUUGCCAUGUUAUCUGAAUUUUUAUCUUAAUUACUUUAAUCACUUUUUGUGCUGAUACUCAGCUGCUUAGAUGUGGAGACUGGGAGUUAGAGCUCCUGGGUUCUCUUUCACUUGCUCGUUCACCCUUCCUCUUUCACUAGCUCUGUAAUCUUGCCAAAAACACAUUUAACUUCUCUUUGGUCUGUCUGUUCAUUGAUAAAAUGGUUAUAAGAAACAAUACCAAUGCCACACAAUAACAUGAGGCUGAUUUUGUAAAACACUUUGAGACCCUAAGAUAUUCCUAAAGCAUUUUUAUUUAUGAAUUGCAGAUAGUGUGUGAUAUGGUUAGUGACUACCCUAUUCAACCUCUCUGUCAGUCUCACCCACAUAAAUUUACAGCUUUGCUCUCCUCCCCAUAAAUAGCUCAGCUUCAAGUGCAUCUCUUGGGCAUGAGAAGCAUUAUUAAGGGCUCAUCCCCUUCCUGAAUUCAGAUCUCCCACUUGACUCCUCUGUCCAUAAUCUUGGCAUCAUCCAUCAUUAUCUCCUCCUCCUGUAUCCCCUGUGUCUGUGCCUAUUACCACAUCCACUCUGCCUUGGAGAACAACUGUUUCAGCCUCACCUCUGCUCCUCCAUCACUGAAUCUCUGCUUAGCUUGACUGUUUUACUUCUACCCUCUGGUGCCUUCCCAGAUUCUUGGAUCACAGCAUGCACAGAACACCCCCCUCAGAUUUGUUCCACAUAGCAGGAAACCCCGCUGCAUCGCCUAAUUCUCAGACACCUCUGCACACUCUCCCUCCCUUUCCCAAUCAAGUUCAGUUGCCCUUUCUGUUUUUCACACUCUCCUAUGGAGUUGUUUCAGCUUCUUUCACCUGCUGUGUCUCUCUGCUCCUUCCCCUUUCCUUCACUCACAUAGUACUGUCUCUCUGUCUCUCUCUUUCCCUCUCCUUCUCCCUCCUCUCAAAUCCUACCCCUUUUACUGCAAGAACCCUCCCCUCUUCUCUUUUUGGCAUCAGGAACAAACUCCCUAUGUCUCUCUGUCUCAUCAACUCCCCAUUUCAUUUUAAAUAUAAUUUAAAACCCUCUCUUUUUUCAACUGGAACCCAUUCAUUUCUCUCCUCCUGCUCUGCAGUCAUAAUACAUAUUUCUGUGUUUAUAGUAUAUAGUAAUAUCUUAUUGUAACCGUAAUAAAAAUCUUCAACUAUG
This is a long non-coding RNA of Alligator mississippiensis (American alligator), 3584 nucleotides long. RefSeq lists it as uncharacterized. Lineage: Eukaryota; Metazoa; Chordata; Crocodylia; Alligatoridae. The record is from RefSeq and is a predicted model, not a curated record. The transcript is spliced from 2 exons.